RNAcentral lists this ribosomal RNA (424 nucleotides) under uncultured bacterium. Its description in RNAcentral is "partial 16S ribosomal RNA". It matches the Rfam family "Bacterial small subunit ribosomal RNA", at positions 360 to 776 of the family's 1533-position model. The record is from RNAcentral.
AAUAUUGGACAAUGGGCGAAAGCCUGAUCCAGCCAUGCCGCGUGUGUGAAGAAGGNCUNNGGAUUNUNAAGCACUUUAAGUUUNNNNNAUGGGUUGUAGAUUAUUACCCUGCACUUUUGACGUUACCAUCAGAAUAAGCACCGCCUAACUUCGUUCCAGCAGCCGCGGGAAUACGAAGGGUGCAAGCGUUAAUCGGAAUUACGGGGCGUAAAGCACGCGUAGGUGGUUCGUUAAGUUGGAAGUGAAAGCCCCGGGCUUAACCAGGGAAUUGCUUUCAAAACUGACGGGCUAGAGUACGGUAGAGGGUAGUGGAAGUUCCUGUGUAGCGGUGAAAUGCGUAGAUAUAGGAAGGAACAUCAGUGGCGAAGGCGACUACCUGAACUGAUACUGACACUGAGGUGCGAAAGCGUGGGGAGCAAACAGG